GUUUCAUUCCUCCACCCGAACCUAGCAGGAGGGAAGAAAAGGCGUGGCCAUAAAUCUGUAUCUCACACCGGACCACCGGUCACAGACUAGCUGCAACGAAGCCCGCUGGUUGUGCUGGGAGUGGAGAAAGUAGCGGCUGAGACAGGAGUGACUUUUCACUGCUGUGUUUUCAAUGCUGAAUAAAGGCCCGGGAAUGGCAGCAAAACCAGCUGAUCUGAGUGGAGUAACUUCCACGUACGAAUAUGAGACUGCUGAGAACCUGCAGAGGGAAGACGUCUCACUUUGUCCCCAUUUCCUGAUCCGACUGGUCUUCACACUCCAAACUCCACCUGAACCUCAGACCCACCUCGACUCAGUGCCUGUCCUUUCUAUCGCCGACCGAGAGUCUUCCUCUCCAGCAGAACCUGACACAGAGUCUGGUCUGGACUCACAGCAGACGUUUCAGAGAGAAAGCAGUUACUGCAUGAAACCUUUCUCUUUAUUAGAAAUGUUUGCAGGCGGACGAGCACGAUAAACCAAGACGGGGCUAAUUUUAUACCAACAGAGCUCCUCUGCACCAGGUCUGAUGUCUCCUCUGGACGGUUCUGCUCUUCUGAGACACUUCAGAGGACACAUAACAGGGCUUUUCUGACUUCAGUGCUUUGCAGAAGGGCAGAAUCUACCGACUGGACUGAAAAAGCACAGUUUUAAAGGGCAACAGUGACUAGCUAUGCAACCUUUCAUGAAGUGCAUGUUGUAAAUUGCUUCUAGCUGUGUUAAUUUGUACAUCUGGUGUAGUGAAAUGUUCUGGUGCAUAACGACAAUCAUAGUAAACUGUAGUUCAGUUGAUGGAAGGGCUCUCUGUCAUCUCACCUGUAAACUUUGGCUUUGAUAAACUUGAUAGAUCAGCUUUCACUCAUUCAACAGGAAUGUUUUGUGGCUAGAAUCAAAUAAAAGAUUUUUCUGUUG
Molecule: long non-coding RNA, 948 nt
Organism: Micropterus dolomieu (smallmouth bass)
Lineage: Eukaryota; Metazoa; Chordata; Actinopteri; Centrarchiformes; Centrarchidae
Exons: 2
Source: RefSeq, a predicted model, not a curated record